Molecule: ribosomal RNA, 206 nt
Filed under: uncultured ectomycorrhiza (Lactarius pseudomucidus)
Lineage: Eukaryota; Fungi; Basidiomycota; Agaricomycetes; Russulales; Russulaceae
Description: partial 28S ribosomal RNA
Rfam family: Eukaryotic large subunit ribosomal RNA
Source: RNAcentral
UUGACCUCAAAUCGGGUGAGACUACCCGCUGAACUUAAGCAUAUCAAUAAGCGGAGGAAAAGAAACUAACAAGGAUUCCCCUAGUAACUGCGAGUGAAGCGGGAAAAGCUCAAAUUUAAAAUCUGGCGGUCUUUGGCCGUCCGAGUUGUAAUUUAGAGAAGCGUCUUCCGCGCCGGACCGUGCACAAGUCUCCUGGAAUGGAGCGU